Non-coding RNA from Acanthosepion pharaonis, 100 nucleotides. Lineage: Eukaryota; Metazoa; Mollusca; Cephalopoda; Sepiida; Sepiidae. The record is from the annotation of a GenBank genome assembly.
CGUUGAAACACGGGUUCCCGUAAGAUCACAAAAGUUAAGCAAUGUCUAGCCUGCUCAGUACCUAGAUGGGUGACUGCAUAGGAAUACCAGGUGCUGUAAG